GUAGGGAAUCUUCCACAAUGGACGAAAGUCUGAUGGAGCAACGCCGCGUGAACGAUGAAGGCUUUCGGGUCGUAAAGUUCUGUUGUAAGGGAAGAACAAGUGCCGCAGGCAAUGGCGGCACCUUGACGGUACCGUGCGAGAAAGCCACGGCUAACUACGUGCCAGCAGCCGCGGUAAUACGUAGGUGGCAAGCGUUGUCCGGAAUUAUUGGGCGUAAAGCGCGCGCAGGCGGCCUCUUAAGCCUGAUGUGAAAGCCCCCGGCUCAAGCGGGGAGGGCGAUUGGAAACUGGGAGGCGUGAGUAUAGGAGAGAAGAGUGGAAUUCCACGUGUAGCGGUGAAAUGCGUAGAGAUGUGGAGGAACACCAGUGGCGAAGGCGACUCUUUGGCCUAUAACUGACGCUGAGGCGCGAAAGCGUGGGGAGCAAACAGGAUUAGAUACCCGUGUAGUCC
This 450-nucleotide ribosomal RNA is filed under the name uncultured bacterium. Its description in RNAcentral is "partial 16S ribosomal RNA". It matches the Rfam family "Bacterial small subunit ribosomal RNA", at positions 354 to 796 of the family's 1533-position model. The record is from RNAcentral.